GUCCAAUCCGUGUCUGGUACUGGCCAAGCUGUGUUGCCUUCACCUACGGCCACUGUUAUUGGCACUAGUUCAUUGUCGUCUGACACUUCUAUCUUCAGUAACCUGCCUGCUGAUUCUAAAGGUGAUCCUCGGCGGGAUCCCCGUCGCCUUGAUCCCCGGCGUGUUGUGGUAGCUCCUGGAGGAGCAACUGUAUCAGUUACAGAUGAUAAUGGAGCCACAAAAAUUGAG
This 228-nucleotide small RNA is filed under the name Vigna angularis var. angularis. RNAcentral describes it as "Non-protein coding transcript". The record is from RNAcentral. Lineage: Eukaryota; Viridiplantae; Streptophyta; Magnoliopsida; Fabales; Fabaceae.